CCUACGGGUGGCAGCAGUGAGGAAUAUUUGUCAAUGGACGCAAGUCUGAACCAGCCAUGCCGCGUGCAGGAAGACGGCUCUAUGAGUUGUAAACUGCUUUUGUACGAGGGUAAACGCAGAUACGCGUAUCUGUCUGAAAGUAUCGUACGAAUAAGGAUCGGCCAACUCCGUGCCAGCAGCCGCGGUAAUACGGAGGAUUCAAGCGUUAUCCGGAUUUAUUGGGUUUAAAGGGUGCGUAGGCGGGCGGAUAAGUUAGUGGUGAAAUCCCGGGGCUCAACUUCGGAAUUGCCGCUGAUACUGUUCGGCUAGAGUGUAGUUGCGGGAGGCGGAAUGUAUGGUGUAGCGGUGAAAUGCUUAGAGAUCAUGCAGAACACCGAUUGCGAAGGCAGCUUACCGAGCUACUACUGACGUUGAGGCACGAAAGCGUGGGGAGCGAACAGGAUUAGAUACCCGAGUAGUC
RNAcentral lists this ribosomal RNA (460 nucleotides) under uncultured bacterium. Its description in RNAcentral is "partial 16S ribosomal RNA". It matches the Rfam family "Bacterial small subunit ribosomal RNA", at positions 338 to 795 of the family's 1533-position model. The record is from RNAcentral.